GCGCGCUCGUCUGGGCGUCGUCGCGGCUGCCUCUGCGGCUCGGGAGCUGCAGCUCGGAGGCUGUGGCUGCGGGAGUCCGCGGGCGCCGUCGCAGGGGCACGAACCCGACGAAUCGGAGGAGGAGGCCGGGGACGUGGAGUCCCAGUGGCCGGCCCAGCCCCAGCCCUGGGCGAAGAUCCAGUGGUCGUGGCCGAGGAGGCUCUGCGGAGGAGGCGACUGGGCCAUGGCCGGGCUGCAGGCUCUGGGAGGCUGGGUUGGCCACCUCCAGGCCUGAGCUUUUAUGUUGACCAAAGACUUGGUCUAUCGUCCAGGCUGGAGUGCAGUGGCACCAUCUCAGCUCACCGCAACCUCUGCCUCCUGGGUUCAAGUGAUUCUUCUGCCUCAGCCUCUCAAGUAGGUGGGACUACAGAUGGAGUCUCACUCUAUUGCCCAGGCUGGACUACAAUGGCAUGAUCUUGGCUUACUGCAACCUUCACCUCUUGGGUUCAAGCAAUUCUGCCUCAGCCUCCCAAGUAGCUGGGAUUACAGGCAUGCACCACCACACCUGGCUAAUUUUUGUAUUUUUAGUAGAGACGGAGUUUCACCAUGUUGGCCAGGCUGGUCUCAAACUCCUGACCUCAAGUGAUCUGCCUCGGAUCCUCGGCCUCCCAAAGUGCUGGGAUUACAGGCGUGAGCCACCAUGCCCAGCCUUUUUAAUUUUAAAUAAUAAAAAAAUAAUAAGAAGAAAGAAACCUAAACGAUUCGGUAUUCCCAGGCUGUCUCCCAUCCUAGUACUUAGCUUCUGAGAUAAGACAAGAUUGGGCGCGUUCAGGGUGGUGUGGCUGUACACCAGAACUUAUUUUUAAAUUGCACAUGUAAUACAUGAAUGUAGUCUUCUUGUGAAAAAUGUAAACACUGAAGACAAAAUUCAAGCUUGACCAGCCCCCAGAACUCAGACCUGCCCCCACCCACACUCCAAACAAGUCCUGGUAUGUUUUUCUAUAUUUGGUGUGUACCCAAGGCCUCUGUCUAUGUACAUAUACACAUAUAUACGAUAGACCCUUACAGAAUACAUGGUAUCAUACUAUGACUUUCUGUGUAGACGGGCUGUUUUUCAAAUUUCAUUUUCUUUUGCCUUUGCUUAUAUCAGUGGUGCCAUACUGAAUGAAAUUUCUGCACCUUGAUUUUGUCACUAAGCAGUCUGUCUAAACUUGCACUUUUAAUCUUUUCCAAUCAGGAUGAAUUGCUGUCAGGGGAAUGGCUGGGCAAAGGGCAUGGUGAGGCUGUUCUGAAGCUUCAGCCCAGCCCUGUCGAGUCCAGGAGGUGCAUGGUUGAGGCUGACCUGGUUAAUGGCAGCCAGCAGCACUGCCCACACACCUGGGGCACCUUGGCCAAGGCACCUGGCCAUCCUGUGUGCUCCCAGGGCCUGGGGUGGAGCAUAAUCUACAAGGCUGAAGAAAACUUCCUUGGCUCAGGCCAAGCGCUGGAUCGUGGAUUUCUCUUGGUGAGGGGCCUUGGGAGCUGAGGAUAGAGUUCCUCUUGUCCUCGGUCUUUGGCACGUGGUCAGUACAGAUCAUGUAAGACCCCUCUUUUUAUUUCACAUCUGGCCAAUUUAAGCUCUCUCCCCCUUCCCUUCAAUGUUCUCUAGCCUGUCCAGGGAUGCCCUAUCCCCAGCCUCUGGCAAAGGACCCCCGCCCACUGGCGCUGCACUUCCCCAGGUCCUGCCCAGGCAUUCCAGCUAGGCCCCGGGAGCCCCACUCUGCUUUUUACUGGGUCUAAAGUCAGAUACCUUGGGGGCAUUCUCCUAACCUCAGAUGGAGCACCCGGAGCUAGCCAAGGGCCUGAACCAGGCAGCUCGUAUGAGGUCCCAGGCUGGUGACCUGGGCCGGCCCUGCACUCUUCAUCCUUCUGCCCGGGGCUGGCCACCCUCCCAGCACCUCACCACUGUUGCGGGCAGUCAGUAGGGGAGAGGGGGCACUUAGGGCCCAAAGCCUCCACUUCCUGCCUGGAUACAGCUCCAUCUUGGGCUUUUCUGGAGGGCCUGAGCAGGCUGGGCACACCCAAGUUGGCAGCUGAGCCAGGUCUGCAAACCCUCACCCGAGAGCUGGCAAGAGUUUCGAGUUUCGGUCAGCUUGUGGUCUGGCCUCUUUCUACCUCAGCUGCACCUGGGGCAUGUGUGUGUUGGGGAGGGGUGUUGAACUCUGCUUGGCUCCUGCCUUCCUGAAACUGUCAUCCUUUUCCUCAUUCUGAUGGGCUCCCAUCUUGCUCCACGUCUCUGCACACAGAUGCGUGCUUUUCCUGGUGGACAGACGGGCAAACGUGUCCAGAGAGGGCAAACGGCCUGCCUGGGGUCACAUGCCCUGUCACACAGGCACUGAACCGGCCUUCAUCUAUUUCUUAAGCCAGCCCAGCAUCCCUGACACAUCUACACAGUUCCCAGCGCACCCCCAAAUAGAGCCAAGCCUGGGUUCUGGCCCUAGCCCCAAAAAACGUCCUUAAGGAUUGGAGGAAGAGCUGUCCAGCUCAGACCCAAAGAUCCCACACGGCUGGGCAGCGCCCUCUGUUGGCUGUGGUUGGGAGUGCGUGGACACUGGAAAGCCAGGGGUGAACCCUCUGUCCCGACUGGGGCCUUCCCACCAAGGCAGGCAGUGUCUCCCAGGACAUCUCAGCAGGCAGUCGGGAGCCCCUGCUCCAUUUUGCAGGUGGCAUUGUGUGACAAGUGUGCCUCCUCUCUUUAUACCUCAAGUUUCCCCACUUUUCACUCUAAGGCUGAGACCCAUUGGCACUUCCCUGGAGAAAGUGAAGGAGCAUAAAUGCUACGUCCCUUAGGAGAGACGUGCUAUCUGCUUACCCUGCAUUGUCAGCCAGCUCCAGACCCACCAAGACGCGGCACUUCCUCUUGAGCCUUUCCUGGAAUCUGCCAAGUCUCUCUCUCCCACCCCCUCCCUCCUCGUCACCCCUGGGCUGCCUGCGACUUCCACUGGCUGAGCACCCAGCUGAUCUGUAGC
This 2987-nucleotide long non-coding RNA is filed under the name Homo sapiens (human). RNAcentral describes it as "non-protein coding lnc-ANPEP-2:3". The record is from RNAcentral. Lineage: Eukaryota; Metazoa; Chordata; Mammalia; Primates; Hominidae.